UCUCAGAGAGUUUGAUUAUGGCUCAGAACGAACGCUGGCGGCAGGCUUAACACAUGCAAGUUGAACGGGAUUCAUUAGUAGCUUGCUAUUGAUGAUGAGAGUGGCGCACGGGUGAGUAAUACGUGGGAACGUACCUAUCAGUUUGGAACAACUGUUGGAAACGACAGCUAAUACCGGAUACGCCCUGAGGGGGAAAGAUUUAUCGCUGAUAGAGCGGCCCGCGGCAGAUUAGGCAGUUGGUGGGGUAAAGGCCUACCAAACCUACGAUCUGUAGCUGGUCUGAGAGGACGAUCAGCCACAUUGGAACUGAGACACGGUCCAGACUCCUACGGGAGGCAGCAGUGAGGGAUAUUGGGCAAUGGGGGAAACCCUGAACCCCCAGCCAUGCCGCGUGAGUGAAGAAGGUUUUCGGAUUGUAAAGCUCUUUCGGGAGAGAAGAUGAUGACGGUAUCUCCAGAAGAAGCCCCGGCAAACUUCGUGCCAGCCGCCGC
This 491-nucleotide ribosomal RNA is filed under the name uncultured bacterium. Its description in RNAcentral is "bacterial SSU rRNA". It matches the Rfam family "Bacterial small subunit ribosomal RNA", at positions 1 to 518 of the family's 1533-position model. The record is from RNAcentral.